RNAcentral lists this ribosomal RNA (478 nucleotides) under uncultured bacterium. RNAcentral's name for it is "partial 16S ribosomal RNA". It matches the Rfam family "Bacterial small subunit ribosomal RNA", at positions 28 to 523 of the family's 1533-position model. The record is from RNAcentral.
GACGAACGCUGGCGGCGUGCUUAACACAUGCAAGUCGAACGGUAAGGCCCUUCGGGGUACACGAGUGGCGAACGGGUGAGUAACACGUGGGUGAUCUGCCCUGCACUUCGGGAUAAGCCUGGGAAACUGGGUCUAAUACCGGAUAGGACCACUGCCUGCAUGGGGGGUGGUGGAAAGCUUUUGCGGGGUGGGAUGGGCCCGCGGCCUAUCAGCUUGUUGGUGGGGUGAUGGCCUACCAAGGCGACGAAGGGUAGCCGGCCUGAGAGGGUGACCGGCCACACGGGGACUGAGAUACGGCCCAGACUCCUACGGGAGGCAGCAGUGGGGAGUAUUGGACAAUGGGCGCAAGCCUGAUGCAGCGACGCCGCGUGAGGGAUGACGGCCUUCGGGUUGUAAACCUCUUUCAGCACCGACGAAGCGCAAGUGACGGUAGGUGCAGAAGAAGGACCGGCCAACUACGUGCCAGCCGCCGCGGUAA